This 730-nucleotide ribosomal RNA is filed under the name Micropterus salmoides (largemouth bass). Its description in RNAcentral is "partial large subunit ribosomal RNA". It matches the Rfam family "Bacterial large subunit ribosomal RNA", at positions 1229 to 2480 of the family's 2925-position model. The record is from RNAcentral. Lineage: Eukaryota; Metazoa; Chordata; Actinopteri; Centrarchiformes; Centrarchidae.
UACCAGACCGCCCCAUGCAACCAUGGGAGAGACCAUGCUAAUAUGAGUAAUAAGAGGGUCGGACCCUCUCCCUGCACACGUGUAAAUCGGAACAGACCAACCACCGAACCCUAACGGUCCCAAACAAAGAGGGUAAUGAAAGACAGAUUAAACAACAAGAAGAGUCUUCAAAUUUUAACCGUUAACCCCACACUGGUGUGCCCCCCGGGAAAGACUAAAAGAAAAAGAAGGAACUCGGCAAACACAUGAAGCCUCGCCUGUUUACCAAAAACAUCGCCUCUUGCAAAUAAAGAAUAAGAGGUCCCGCCUGCCCUGUGACUAUAAGUUUAACGGCCGCGGUAUUUUGACCGUGCGAAGGUAGCGCAAUCACUUGUCUUUUAAAUGAAGACCUGUAUGAAUGGCAUAACGAGGGCUUAACUGUCUCCUUUUUCAAGUCAAUGAAAUUGAUCUCCCCGUGCAGAAGCGGGGAUAAGACCAUAAGACGAGAAGACCCUGUGGAGCUUUAGACGCCAAGGUAAAUCAUGUUAAACAUCCCGAAACAAAGGGCUAAACCAAAUGAAAAUUACCCCUAUGUCUUUGGUUGGGGCGACCGCGGGGAAACACAAAACCCCCAUGUGGAAUGGGACUACUCCCUCCUACAACUCAGAGCCUCCGCUCUAAUGAACAGAAUUUCUGACCAGCAAGAUCCGGCAACGCCGAUCAACGAACCGAGUUACCCCAGGGAUAACAG